This is a long non-coding RNA of Pan troglodytes (chimpanzee), 2550 nucleotides long. NCBI's taxonomy places the organism in Eukaryota, Metazoa, Chordata, Mammalia, Primates, Hominidae. The record is from Ensembl.
GUGUGUACAAAGUGACCCCUCGCUCCUGCCACCGGUUUGAGCAAGCGUUCUACACCUAUGACACGUAAGCCUGGGAAUUGAAUGCUUUGUGGUGUUUGUAUACAUUCUGUGGAGGAUUCUUCAUUUACUUCAGAGAACAAAAGGAGUUUUUCUGGUUUUUUUUCUGAAAGAGGCAAGGUUAGGCCUUCAACAGCAUUUCUAGAUAAGGAUUUUAAGACACUUGGAUUAGUUACUGAGGAACCGGAGACAGGAUCCCUUUCCCAAGAAUUCUGUAACCCCAGGAUAGAGGGCUGUGUUUUUGAAGUGCCUUAAAUAGAAGCUUUGUCAAAUCUCCCAGCCCUCACCGAUGGGCAUCUGUCAAGUUCAAGUCUGCCAUUUUUGUAUUUUUACAGACGUGUGUGGGUUUCACUGGGAAUUGGAAGCAUAAAGUUGUGGAGUGGAGAAUUAGUUUACUCUUUAGAAUACUUCUCUGGAUCUCCAGAGUUAUUUUACCCCAGACUAAGAGCAAUUUUCUGUAGUAUAUUUAGGGUGAAGAAGGAUGCCCAAAAAGGGUAUUGCUGAUGAUCUUCUGAGAAUGAGUAGGUUCUAGUGUUUCCUCUCCUUUGAUUUGUAGGUCUUCACCUAGUAUCUUGACAUUGACAGCCAUUCGCCACCAUGUCCUUGGAACUAUCACCACCGACAAAAUGAUGGAUGUCACUGUGACUAUCAAGUCUUCCAUCGACAGUGAACCCGCCUUGGUCUUAGGCCCUCUGAAGUCUGUGCAGGAGCUGCGGAGGGAGCAGCAGCUGGCUGAGAUCGAGGCCCGCAGGCAGGAGAGGGAGAAAAAUGGCAAAGAGGAAGGCGAAGAAAGAAUGACCAAGCCUCCCAUGCAGGAGAUGGUAGAUGAGUUACAAGGCCCCUUCUCGUAUGAUUUCUCUUACUGGGCGCGGUCUGGAGAGAAAAUCACUGUUACACCAUCAUCUAAAGAGCUGCUCUUUUAUCCCCCUUCAAUGGAAGCCGUUGUCAGUGGAGAAAGCUGCCCAGGGAAGCUGAUCGAGAUCCACGGGAAGGCAGGCCUGUUUUUAGAAGGCCAGAUCCACCCCGAGUUGGAAGGAGUCGAGAUUGUCAUCAGUGAAAAGGGGGCAAGUUCACCGCUGAUCACAGUCUUUACUGAUGACAAAGGUGCCUACAGUGUUGGCCCCCUGCACAGUGACCUGGAGUAUACGGUGACCUCACAGAAGGAGGGCUAUGUUCUGACUGCAGUGGAAGGAACCAUCGGAGACUUCAAGGCCUAUGCCCUGGCAGGCGUAAGCUUUGAGAUAAAAGCUGAGGAUGACCAGCCCCUCCCGGGAGUCCUCUUAUCCCUGAGCGGUGGCCUGUUUCGUUCCAACCUCUUGACCCAGGACAACGGCAUUCUGACAUUCUCAAACCUGAGCCCUGGCCAGUAUUACUUCAAACCCAUGAUGAAGGAGUUCCGGUUUGAGCCAUCCUCACAGAUGAUCGAGGUGCAGGAAGGCCAGAACCUGAAGAUCACCAUCACGGGGUACCGAACCGCUUACAGUUGCUAUGGCACAGUGUCUUCCUUAAACGGAGAGCCCGAACAAGGGGUUGCCGUGGAAGCGGUGGGCCAGAACGACUGCAGCAUUUACGGAGAAGACACCGUGACAGACGAAGAGGGCAAGUUCAGAUUACGUGGAUUGCUGCCGGGAUGUCUGUACCACGUUCAGCUCAAGGCAGAAGGCAACGACCACAUUGAGCGGGCGCUCCCCCACCAUAGGGUGAUUGAGGUUGGGAAUAAUGACAUCGAUGAUGUAAACAUCAUAGUUUUCCGGCAGAUUAAUCAAUUUGAUUUAAGUGGAAAUGUGAUCACUUCCUCUGAAUACCUUCCUACAUUAUGGGUAAGUCCAGACUUUUAAGCUCCAAGUAUUGUGUUCCCUUUGGCUUUGAGACAAGUACGAAUGGGAUGUUUUUGGUUUUGUGCCUGUCUUGUGCCUUAGGUGUGACAGGUGGAGGUGCUCCAGAGUGCCGCCUGCUGAGGGUUGAGGUUGAGAUUUAAGAACCUUGGACCACAACACAUAUUUGGGAGAGUGAUUGCCAAUUGUGGGAGAGAAUGUGGUCCAGUUUCAGAUAACUGUCUGCCAUCAGUUAAUCUUCCAAAGAAUUAUAGUAGAAGCCUGAUCAAUGAUCAGUACAAUAUGGAAUCUAACGUGGAAAGCCAAUUUUAAAGAAAGUGCCUUGUAACUUAAAAUUUUCUCUGGAGUGGAGGUCGUAUUAAACGUUCUUGCAUUGGUAUAAAGAAAUGCCUGAGGCUAGAUAAUUUAUAACAAAAGAGGCUUCAUUGGCUCCUCGUUCUGUAGGUUGUACAGGAAGCAUAGUGGCAUCUGCUUCUGGGGAGGCCUCAGGAGGCUUCCAAUCAUGGCAGAAGGUGAAGUGGGAGCAGGCAUGUCAUGUGGGAGAAGCUGGAGCAAAAGAGAGAGUUGGGGCAUGGUGCCACACACUUUUAAAUGAUCAGAUUUCACAAGACUCAUAACGAAGACAGCACCAAGCCAUGUGAUUAGAUUUGCAGACGCU